Molecule: ribosomal RNA, 493 nt
Filed under: uncultured bacterium
Lineage: Bacteria
Description: bacterial SSU rRNA
Rfam family: Bacterial small subunit ribosomal RNA
Source: RNAcentral
AGAGUUUGAUCAUGGCUCAGGACGAACGCUGGCGGCGUGCUUAACACAUGCAAGUCGAGCGAGGAGCUUGCUCCUAGCGGCGAACGGGUGAGUAACACGUGGGCAACCUGCCCCGAACUUCGGAAUAACUUCGGGAAACCGAGGCUAAUACCGGAUAUGACAUUGGGGGACAUCCUCUGGUGUGGAAAGAUUUAUCGGUUCGGGAUGGGCCCGCGGCCUAUCAGCUUGUUGGUGGGGUAACGGCCUACCAAGGCGACGACGGGUAGCCGGCCUGAGAGGGCGACCGGCCACACUGGGACUGAGACACGGCCCAGACUCCUACGGGAGGCAGCAGUGGGGAAUAUUGCGCAAUGGGCGAAAGCCUGACGCAGCGACGCCGCGUGAGGGAUUAAGGCCUUCGGGUUGUAAACCUCUUUCAGCAGGGACGAAGCGUAAGUGACGGUACCUGCAGAAGAAGCACCGGCCAACUACGUGCCAGCAGCCGCGGUAAUAC